RNAcentral lists this non-coding RNA (135 nucleotides) under Desulfitobacterium hafniense. Lineage: Bacteria; Bacillati; Bacillota; Clostridia; Eubacteriales; Desulfitobacteriaceae. RNAcentral also lists the same sequence under 1 other name. The record is from RNAcentral.
GGAAAUCGGUGCAAUUCCGAUGCGGUGCCGCCACUGUAAUGAGGAGCUGGCAGCAGAGCUUGUUGUUUAACAAGCAGGACACUGGACUAUAAUCCGGGAAGUCUUCUGCCAAGCGAUGAAUCUAAGCCAGGAUAC